Molecule: ribosomal RNA, 315 nt
Filed under: Hemistomia cockerelli
Lineage: Eukaryota; Metazoa; Mollusca; Gastropoda; Littorinimorpha; Tateidae
Description: eukaryotic LSU rRNA
Source: RNAcentral
UAUUGAACGCAUAUUGCGGCCACGGGUCCGUCCUGUGGCCACGCCCGUCUGAGGGUCGGCGACGUUGUACCCAUCGCUGGAAGGCUCUGGUCCAGCGCCUUGAGCUUUCGUAGCCGAAAGGCUCCGUGGCUUGAAAUGGAGACCUGAAAGUGAAAAGAAAAGUCCUCCUCAUCGCGGCAGCAGCAGUCCUCAUGCGAGCAAAGGACAUGGCCCGGUUGAACUGUCUUUGCUAGCGAGCGAGCGUUGGUGGGGAGGAUCGAUCCUACUUCCGACCUCAGAUCGGACGAGAUUACCCGCUGAAUUUAAGCAUAUCAC